AAGCUAACAACUAACAAAUUAGCACGUUUGUCUUGUUCAGCCAUGACCAGCAUUUGUGUUAGUGCUCCUGGUAUAACACUUAAAAUAGCUGUUUCCGUAUUAAUACGUGCAAUUUUUUUAAAAAUAAAUGCCAUUACUAUUGCAAUUAAUAAUAUCGAAAUAGAUAC
RNAcentral lists this small RNA (167 nucleotides) under Staphylococcus aureus. Its description in RNAcentral is "3'UTR". Lineage: Bacteria; Bacillati; Bacillota; Bacilli; Caryophanales; Staphylococcaceae. The record is from RNAcentral.